Glossina fuscipes is the source of this 440-nucleotide long non-coding RNA. RefSeq lists it as uncharacterized. Lineage: Eukaryota; Metazoa; Arthropoda; Insecta; Diptera; Glossinidae. The record is from RefSeq and is a predicted model, not a curated record. The transcript has 2 exons.
UUUUAAAAAAUAAAAACCAAAAAUAAAAUAAACAAAACAUUUUUAUAAAAAUUAUAAAAUUAUGCAUUUUACUAAAAGCCGCGCCGUCAAAAAGCAGAACAUGAUUUGAAAGCAAAAACAAAAUCGUUUUUGUCACCAAAACGGAAAAGUCGAGAUUUUGACUAUAUCAACUAGGAAUCUGAGAGAAGCCUGAGAGAUAGAUUCUGACAAAAGCAUUGAUCUAAGCAAUUGAGCAGCUAUUAAAAGUACACCAAGUGAGAUAUAAAUCGAAAAUAAAUAAUUCAUUAAAUAUAUAAAAGAAAUAAUAAUAAUUAUUAUAAUAAAUAAAAACUGUGCAAAUCAACACCACCAAAGAAAACCAACUAUUACAGAGAUAACAAAGAAACGAAUCUAAUCAUUAAAAUAAAAAUUUAUACACCAACAACAAAAAAAAAAAAAAA